CUACGGGAGGCUGCAGUGAGGAAUAUUGCACAAUGGGGGAAACCCUGAUGCAGCAACGCCGCGUGGAGGAUGACGCAUUUCGGUGUGUAAACUCCUUUUAUGAGUCAAGAAAAUGACGGUAGCUCAUGAAUAAGCACCGGCUAACUCCGUGCCAGCAGCCGCGGUAAUACGGAGGGUGCAAGCGUUACUCGGAAUCACUGGGCGUAAAGGACGCGUAGGCGGGCUUGUAAGUCAGGUGUGAAAUCCUACAGCUUAACUGUAGAACUGCACUUGAAACUACGAGCCUAGAGUAUGGGAGGGGCAGAUGGAAUUAGUGGUGUAGGGGUAAAAUCCGUAGAUAUCACUAGGAAUACCGAAAGCGAAGGCGAUCUGCUGGAACAUUACUGACGCUAAGGCGUGAAAGCGUGGGGAGCAAACGGGAUUAGAUACCCCCGUAGUC
Molecule: ribosomal RNA, 439 nt
Filed under: uncultured bacterium
Lineage: Bacteria
Description: partial 16S ribosomal RNA
Rfam family: Bacterial small subunit ribosomal RNA
Source: RNAcentral